Molecule: long non-coding RNA, 4918 nt
Organism: Helicoverpa armigera (cotton bollworm)
Lineage: Eukaryota; Metazoa; Arthropoda; Insecta; Lepidoptera; Noctuidae
Exons: 4
Source: RefSeq, a predicted model, not a curated record
CUUCAGAGCGUAUUGCGCAGACGUUCACGUCACAGCGCUGUUUCCCCGGCGCGGCAGUGUGACAAACCGCUGCAACCUAAUAACAACUGAUUCAUUCACUUUUGUUUUUUCUCUGUCGCUGUGUUCGUUCGGAGGUUAGAAAGGGACAGUGCCGAUAAAAUACAAAAAUAACAGGUAAGAUUUUUAAUUCUUUUAAAUAAUAUAUAAAUUAAGGCGUGGCUGCGCAGGUUUAGUAAUAAAAUGGUCGUCCACUAACUUUUUAAAUUAAACAACGGUGCGUGAGGAUGGGUUUGUGUCUUUCGUUCGAGUGUGGCGACUGUGAGGUCUGCUGUAACCCGUGUUGUCUGGCGCUGAGUGCGUGCUGCCUGGUGCCCUGCCUGUGUCCUAACGCCUGCGGGCAGCAGCAACCCCCGCCGCAGCACGUGACCGUGGUGCAGCAACCCCCGCCGGUCAUAUACGAGCAGCAGCCGCCGCCGCCCGGCUACCCGUACCCACCACCCGGGGGAUACCCGCCCCCCGGCGGUCAUCCCGGCUACCCUCCACCACAGGGAUACCCAGGAUACCCCCCUGAUCCUUCACAAAUGUACCGAUGAAAAGCUUAGUUAAGGAUGGGUUGCAACAUUUCAUGUCGUCCGUGCUGCUGCUGCUGCAUCCCUUGCUGUUGCUGCGACUGUUGCAGCGAUGAUAACAAACGCACCGUGAUUGUACAAAAUCGCGUUGUCGUUCAACAACCACCGGCUGGCUCGGCGCCCGGACCCCGAGUCGAACCACCACCUCCUUAUAAAUACUAACACACCGCUAACAAAUAUUAUUUUUUAAACUUUUUUAUUUUGGAACAAUGCGCAGUCACAAGAAUUUACUAUGUAAAUCUGUAGUCUGUGAAAAAAUUACAUUAUCCACAUGGCCAGUCACAAAUGUCGUUACAAGAUUUAAAGUUAUAGAGCCGUAACAAAUAAGCACCAAUAGCCGGGUAAAUAAUAGUGUAUUGUUCUUUUGUUUUAAUCAGCGUCAAUAAUUAUAAAAUUAGGAAUAUAUUGUACUAACUGACAGUUGUGUUUUCAAUGCACGCUUUUUCUAAUUUCGUUACGAAAGUAAAACAUUGUACUGUUUCACUGUUAGUUCAAACUUAUGCCUAAUUUUAGAAUUUACUUUAUGCCCUCAUUGUUUUUUAAUUAUUUGGUGCAAUAUUAUUUUGUUAUUGUCUUUUUUUCUGAAUGUUAUUGAAAGUAAUAUACCUAUGAAUUGAAACGAAUUUAUUUCGCUCAAAGUAUAGUCGGAAACAGGGUCCAAGAUAACGGUGGUGUGGGCCUCAGAAAGGAACUUCUUUUAAUAGGAAAACUUUUAUAAUAUUUGUAUAAAUAGUAGUACUUAUUUUUUAAACAUAAUUUCCUCUCUGAAGCCCUUUAGCAUAAACUUUUUUCAUCAUGGAAUGCAGCAGCAACCUUUAGUAAAUGCUAACCUAUUAUUACUUUGUUAUUUAUUAAUUAAGCACAUAUUAAAUAUGUAUUAAGUAAAUAGAAAAUAAAUAGAUCUCCUAUGUAUUUAAUACUGCAAUUGAAAAUUUUUCCUAACUAUAGCAACAUUGUAGGAAUUGCCAAAGAUGAUAAUUUCUUGUCUUGGAAAAACCCCUCCUUCGUCUUGGAGAAAUAUUUCAGAGAUGCGAGACUUUCAUGCGUCCUUCUAUUUAUUUUUCUUAUUAUCGUCUCCUUCAUGAAGGUGUAGUCUUUACGUAAUAAUUAUUGUCAGUAAAUUAAUCUUUCGAUUGUAGUAUUCAAUUGAAGGACACGUGAGCACGUUUUUUCUUCGUUUUCCUUAAGUUUUAGUGCGAGAUAGGAGAUAUCAGUAAUUGUGAUAAUGUUGGUAUUCCGAAUACCUAUCUAUACACCUCAGUUGUAAAUAAAUAUACGUUAUAACUUUUCACGUACGCCAUUUUCAUGACGGCAUUCAUUAUUUUUUUUUAUUAUGUCUAAAAUAUUUAUCAAAGAAUAGAUAGUAAAUCAUUAUGUUAUAACUUAAUAAUUCCUGUUAUAGUGUCAAUACAAUAAGAAGUCAGUACAAUAAGAAGGAUAGCUUGUACGUAAUAAUAUAUUUCAAAUACUUGAGUAAUGAGCUCACACAUUAUCGCAUUAUGAUCAAUGCAUAAACAAUAUUUCUAAGCAUAAACAAAUAAAAGAGUGAUACCAACAGGGCGUAAGAUAUUUAUGUAUGUAAACUAUAUUUUUUAAGUAAAAAAUCCAAUCCACUGAGUCUUUUUAUUUGAAUUACUUUGCAAUACAAGUUCAAUAUAAAGUACCUACCUAAUAGUACCUAAUAGAAACUAGGUUUAAAACGAACGGAGGCUCUAGCUACCUACUUUUAGAAAGUUUCAAGCCAUGUCGUUUUUUUUAAAAAGGUGUGCUAUGUUAUAUUUUACAGUUCAGUUUAUAGCUGUUGUAGUUUUAAUGGAUGUGUAGCAAACACGAAACCAUAACUUAUGAUUUUAACGACUCUUUUUUUACUACCUCAGGAAAAGUACUACAUUGUAGAAACGUAUAAAGAAUGAUAGAUCUAAUUCAAUAGAUGUUCCGAUUACGAAAAAAUCUGAUAUUUCAGAUCACAAAUAUUAAUAUGGGCAUUUAGUAAAUAUUCUGAAUAUCUAUGGAAAAUUAUGUCAUGUACUUAUAUCGGGUGUGUCGUUCACAAUCACAUUAAAUGAAAUGCUCCCUUGAAAACUGACAGCUGUCAACUGAUCAAAACAUUCGUUACUCCUAAUUUUAUCUCUGCUUUACACAUGAUGUUGUAAGUAAAUUAAAAAAACGAAAAAUGACUCCUGUGGUUAAACCACUGAAUGGGUUAGGUUAUUUUUUUAUAAUUCGCCAUAGACUAUCAUAAAGUAUAAUAUGCGAUAGGAUUUAAUGUGAUUGUGAACGACACACCCUGUAUAAUAUUUUUUAGUUUGGUCAUAACAUCGUUUUUCAAUCAGAAUUACGGUUUUAGGUCUAACGAUUUAAAGGUGGUUAUAUUUUUUUAAAGUUUUUGGACAGAAGUGAUAUUGUUACAGUAUGGCUGACUGUAAAUACUCGUAAAUCAAUCAACCAAAUUAUGAUUUGAAAACUCGAAUGGGUCAAAAGAGAGAGACAAGUUGAACCACUGGAAUUGCCAUGACCACUGAGGACAGUAAUUAUAAGUACUUUUUUUCGUGACUUUGUUAAAUUCUGCAGAGACCAUUUUUCGGUGAAAAUCUGUUUAUGAUUCUGAAAUUAUAAACAGAAGCCUUCAGAGGCUUUCUUAUGGGAAAACCUUUUUUCUUGCACAAAGAAAAAAUACCCCUUUAAUCACUGCACCUGCGUCGACAGGGUUUAAUCUGACAAAUAUAUUAAUUAACGACCAAUUAGCGCUUCCUACGUUUGAAUAUAUUUAAUUUGGAGGUGACUCAUGAGUGUGGGCACAAUAUAGGUACAAACGUAUGACUCAUCAUGAAAUAUUGACGUUCGGAGUAUAUCUACUUUAAGUGCAUUGUUUAGAUAGAGAAUUGGGCUUGUUUGUUACUAAUAAGCUCCAAUAUUUUGUGCCGCCUAGUUGGCGAUUAAGAUGAUUCCAUUUUAGAAGAAUUUUAUGGACCCAUUUAUUACUUAUCGAUUUGCAAGUCUUUUUUCAGAUGGAAAGACAAAGAUAUGAGAAAAUGUUGGUCUGGUAGUCGCACUGUUAUGCAAGGGGUAUUGGGUUCGAUUCAAAGGCAAGAGUCUGGAAGUUGGUGGCGCUACACAGUCGUUCCUCUAUUCGAUCUCUCCUCGGUCAUAUUGCAUGGACGUCCCAUUGGAGUAUAAGUGUAAGGGAUGAGAGAGUGUCUGCGAAAACUCUUGUGCAAAAUUUUAUAACAAUUACAUGUAUGUCCUGCGCACCGGGCUUAUCUCCUAGGAGAGCAGCCACUGAGGGGUCGACAAUCAGUUCGAAAGCCGUUACUAAUAUAGUGGUUAUGAUUUAACUGAUUAACUAUUUGAAAAACGUGAAGAAUGAUCGCUAUCUGUGUUUAUUCCAUUGAAAACUUUCCCGAAUGGUUAUCUUAUUGCUAGGUCUAUAUCGGAACAAUGACAUCCUAUCUGUCUCGUAAGCAUUGUCAAUUGUAUCAAGUUACAUCUCUGUCAAAACAUUGUAGAACUUGUAUUUGAAACAUUCUUUGAAUCGUAACGUUAAGACGUUUUCAAAUUAUUUUUGUAACAAUUUGGGUAGGUACUCGCAUCAAAUUGUGGCUGUUAAGUCACUGGAAAUUAUACCUGCCUUUAUAAUAAUCUUUGUAUUAUCAUAAAUGAUGGCCUGAUAAUGCGAAUUACUGAGAAUAAAGCGAGAUUUGAAUGUAUUUAUGAAGAAAUAUGUAAUUUGGUUUAAAAGCAGUAUCAAUUAGGUAUGAUAAGAAAUAAUGCCAGUCACUUUCCUCAAUAACUAAAUUUGAAUGCUAUUUUUUUCAUAUUAAGAACUCCUUACGUCCUAAAUGAUUCAUGCGUGUGACUUUUUUUUCUAUUGAAUUAUUUAUCGAUGAUAACUAUCUUAUCGCAAUGGACGCUAGCUUCGCUUUAGCAAGCAAGUGGGCUACAUAAUAAGUCGACUGCUUAAAUAAAAAACAUUUCGGAGGACGUGGUGGCUUAGCACUUGGAUAUAUUUAAAUAAAAGCAGCUAACAUGGGUUUAUGCUGCAGCUGUUGUGGUGAUGACGGAGGUGGUGUGACAGUAGUGGACCAGGCAUUCAACAAUGAUGGGGGCUUCCCCCCACCACCCGACGGCGGGGCGGUCACUGAAGGGCCCAACUUCCAAAUGAGAUGAUCACAGCCUCAAACACGCGUGUGUUUGAGGCGAAAAACUACUCCGCAGCGCUAGUGAUAUAACUAUGUAAUAUUGUUUAAGAAAACUUCUUGUCUUAUUAAAAUUAUGAAACUAAAAUUGCA